UACGUAGGGGGCAAGCGUUGUCCGGAUUUAUUGGGCGUAAAGAGCGUGUAGGCGGCUUUACAGGUCCGUUGUGAAAACUCGAGGCUCAACCUCGAGACGCCGGUGGAAACCGUAAGGCUAGAGUCCGGAAGAGGAGAGUGGAAUUCCUGGAUGUAGGCGGUGAAAUGCGCAGGAUAUCAGGAAGAACACCCGUGGCGAAGGCGGCUCUCUGGGACGGUACUGACGCUGAGACGCGAAAGCGUGGGGAGCGAACAGG
This 256-nucleotide ribosomal RNA is filed under the name uncultured bacterium. Its description in RNAcentral is "partial 16S ribosomal RNA". It matches the Rfam family "Bacterial small subunit ribosomal RNA", at positions 524 to 776 of the family's 1533-position model. The record is from RNAcentral.